AACGCGCCGCACCCCAACUAUAACUCAAGGAACUCCACCAAACCCAUUGGUAGUUACUCACGCCUUCCAACUGCUGUUAUACGGUAGUUGUGUGCGGUGGGAGGAGUACACCACCUUACUGAUAUAAUCUAUUGGUUGAGUGCGAUGCCAGUAGACCUAUGAUUUGCAUAACCAGGUCAGGUUGCAGAGACAGGGGAGUGGGCUGGGUUGGAAUAUAGCAAGUGAGCUGCUGAACUUCUACACUGAUGUCCACAACCAAUAUCGUAAUGCUACUUUGUUGAGAUACUUUGUUUCUUUUAGUAGAAAAUAGGUAUGAUGUUUCAUUGACACUGACCGAGCGUGCCUCACUGUUUAGGAUUUUUUUCUUCAAUCAAAUUGUUUUUUAAAUGGAACACUGAUUGGUAAGUGACUGAAGGCACAUCAUUUGGAAUAUGAAGUAUUAUCCUGAAAUGAUGAGUUGUCUGUAAUUAUUUCGAUGGAUUUCAUCCUUGCUAUUUAUACGUUACAUGUGUCUGUACAUAGUUAAAUAAGUCAGUUUGCAUAGGGCCUUUUUACAGAUCUGUUCAUACUUAAAAUAGUAUCAAAGGCUUUUGUUAUUUUGCAUUCAUAUGCUUGUUUUCCAGAUGGAAAAAAAUCUAAAGGAAAUGUGUCAAUGGUUUGCUUUAAAAUGAAACGUAGCCUAUGCAUUAGGCUUGUUCUAAAGUUAUUAUCUGUUACAGGAGGCCCAGAAUGUCGCCUUCCUAUAGCUAAACCCAGCAGCCUAUUUUGAAAAUCACGUGGGCUUUCAUGAUCACGUAUUUGAAUUCAAAAGUUAUUUUUGUACAAGCAGUGAUUUUAUUAUGCUAUGAAUUGGCCAUCGAAAAGAUUGGACUCUGAUGGUAAUCGAUUCCGUGUCAUCAACGUUAUUUAUUUGAACUGCCUUUGUAGUUGUGCUUUUGUGCUCGUUGAAUAUCUGAAAGCAGGUAAGCCACUGACUAAUGCACAUUGCGCCAAUACCCAAUUCCACUGUGCGUGUGACAGCGGCUAACCAGCUUUUGGGGGGUCGCUCCGAGCUUCUGACGCGGCGGGAACGCACUGUACAGAGAGGAGAAGGUCCCGAGUGAGACGUGCCGAAUUCAUUGCGCUGUGUCAGUGUCUUAGUAAAGGCCAUUCAUUUGGGGAGUCGUAUCCCUGUUGUAAUUGGUCGUUGUCUGUUCACUCAGAAGCUUUGUGCCUUUAUUGAUUAGAAUGUGGUGACUGAAUUCUGUUUAAUUCAUUUUAUGACGGCUGUUGAUUUAAUGCAUUGGUUUGAUUUCAUGGAUAAGUUGGUGCAAAUUAAACAUACACAAAAAUGAAUAUUUCCUCUGUGUUUGCCUUAUGUAUAACAGCACACAUAACUAGGCCAUAUAUGGCCGCAUGUGUAACAAGUUCAGUCAGGACAUUCUGGCAUGACAAUGACAUGGUCAGUGGUCUUAGUCACAGAAUAGCCUAUAUGUAGUCAAUUAAAAACAGGAAAUGACUUAUUCAGUAAAGACAUACAUGAGUAGUUCUGAGGUCAUAAGAGUUGUAAUAAGAGGUCAUUAAAAUAUGAGGUGUAAUACAUUCAUGUUUCAUAUGUACUCUCUGUAACCUUAUAGUUGCCAGUUGAAAGGUGUGGGUACAUUACCUGUAUUCCAGGUGAAGUCAGAUACACUGAAGAACAUUCCCUCCGCGACUAUAUAACAACCAAGCUAUAACAGUGGUCUAGAGACCAUUUACAUUUAUGGUGUGCCACUGUGGAUUGUGUCAGGAACCUCAGUGUAGGCUCUGAGAGGGCAAUGAGGGCUUGCUUGAUAAAGUGAUGCUUGUCAAUGUCAGUGAUCCACAAAGAAGAAUGUAACGAAGCCUGGAGACAGGCCUGAUCGGAUUAAGAUGCCUCUGUACCAGAGUCCGACUGUUUACCUGCAUAAGUCACAUAUUAGAGUAAUAUAGCGUUCGGAUACAUUUAUAUCCUCUGUAUUUAUAACUUGGAACAGCGAUAGAGAGAGAACAGUCACAUGGCCCAGGACUUCCUGUUAAUGUACCUCACCCAUAAGUCCAUGUGUGUGGGGUGUGUUUGCUUGGAGUACGUGUGAAUCUGCACAGCCAUAUGCGAGUGUGUGAGCGCAUGUGUGUAAGCGAGUGUUGCCUUAUCACCACUCCAGACGUUUCCCAGACAGGCCAGAUCACUCUCCUGAACUGCAGGGAUUUGUGGCUUAUCUGACCAUAGCCACGCCAGUCCAGGGCUGAUCUUAUCACUGUAAUCCAAUUUGACACAAUUAAUCUUAAUAUCAAAACUGCCCAGCCCUUUUAAACAGCUCAGCUGCGUGCAUCAGUUUGCCUUCAGAUUAACACUAAACUACAUUGCAGGUUAUUCUUCAGGUAUAUUUCAAUGGGCACACCAACCCUUAAUGUCCUUGAGUAACUUAUUUUGUAAUUCUACUAGUUAGAAGUUAGAAGUUCUCCCUCCCCUCAUGAAAAUCUUAAAAGUGGUCUCAUAAGUAAGGUGUAUUGUCAUCAAACAGAAUGCCACACUGGAGUUGGGGGCUACCAAUCCCAUUUGGCCUGCUUCUUUCAUAAAUGUUAAACGGGGUCAGAGGGCAACAUGCUGCUAAGCAUACUUUCAGCUCUGCCUACAUGCAGACCUCCAUGUGUGUUAAUGGACCGGCUGCCUUGGAUCAUCAACGUGCUCUCUCACACACACACACACACACACGCACAC
Molecule: long non-coding RNA, 2719 nt
Organism: Clupea harengus (Atlantic herring)
Lineage: Eukaryota; Metazoa; Chordata; Actinopteri; Clupeiformes; Clupeidae
Source: Ensembl